CAGCGCCACAAGUGGGAAUCGCUUUUAUUGGGCCUAAAGCGUCCGUAGCCGGUUUAGCAAAUCUUUUGUGAAAUCGUCAGGCUUAACUUGACGAAUUGCAGAAGACACUACUAAACUAGGGACUGGGAGGAGUCAGAAGUAUUCUGGGGGGACCGGUAAAAUGGUAUAAUCCCCAGAGGACUACCGAUGGCGAAGGCAUCUGACCAGAACAGAUCCGACGGUGAGGGACGAAAGCCAGGGGAGCAAACCGGAUUAGAUACCCGAGUAGUCC
RNAcentral lists this ribosomal RNA (271 nucleotides) under uncultured archaeon. Its description in RNAcentral is "partial 16S ribosomal RNA". It matches the Rfam family "Archaeal small subunit ribosomal RNA", at positions 477 to 747 of the family's 1478-position model. The record is from RNAcentral.